ACAGCCCUAGUUCCCUCUCCAGAACCGAGCGAGAUUCAUCUUUCCUGGGCCCAAAGGGAGCGACACAUCUCCAAGUGCCUUGCACUUGCCAGCAGCUACAGCGGCCGAAGGAAGGUGGUUCCCACUCCCCAGGAGCCACGGGUCUUGGGCGUCCAACAGGGGAACUGUGUGGACAGGGCGGACCGGGACCGCAGUGAGCUGCAAAACCACUGUGCACGCGGGGUCCUACAGUACCAGCCUGGUUAACCAGCCUUCUCCCAGCGGGCGAGGCUCCGAAGGACCCCACGGAGUCGCAACCGGGGCCUCAGGGAUUGGACAGCCUCCAGCCACGUGACCAGCCCAGGUUCCUACAGUAGAGUUUGGUGUGCUUGGUCACCUUCAAAUGCCUGAUGUGACACGAAGCUUAAUUCUGCUAAGCAGUGCUGACAGUAACCAGGUAACACACUGAAGACAUUGAACCAAAGGAAUGACAUCAGAGCAGUGUAGUUUUAAGGUCAUUCGGAACAAGAGGGAAGUGCUUCUUUGAAACUUCUGAUGGAGAAAAAAGAGUUGCUAACCCAGCAGGGAGAGAAAAAAAAAGACCAAGAAGGAAAUAUGCAGAUGCUGAUUUAGCCAUGAGAUAAGACAGAACUGUGUGAAAUCUCUGCCUUUGAGGCAAGUUCCUUCUUUGACACCAAGACUCCAGCCUAUUCUCACCCCCAGCAUGGAAUUCCUGAGACUUUCCUCCAGUCCUUAGGAGAUUUGCGAAUCUUCAAGAUUAUGGUUUCCUUGGCAAGAAGCAAGGCCAACAUCAGUGCUGCCCCACAGUUCCCAUGUGGAACCGCAACAAGAACAACAACCAAUAUUUGCUUUCAGUUGGGAACUGGGCAUAGACUGAAGCUGACCCGUGCCUGGCAGUGCUCGGCCGUGCCCCUCUUCGCAGCUUCACUGUCUUCCUGGUGCUGAAUUUUCCACCCACACCGGGCACCGCGUGAUGCUCAUACUGAGCAGCGACAUCCACAGAUACUUCUGGAAAUGGCUCAGAUUCCAGGUGGUUGUAAAUUAUGAACUGCAGUGUUUUUUCUGCGCACACAGUCUUAACCUUACAGAAACGUAAUGGAAAGCAUAAUUCCAUAUUUUCUUCCUGUUAUUCUUCAGCGUGUAAAUACCUAGUUACUAUGUCUAUGGAUUGUCUUAUGUUGGAACGUUUGAGUUUUAAAAUUACUGUUUGCUAACUUGAGGCUCACAAAAGCUGUUAAAUGAAGAUAAAUCAGGAUCGGAACAGAAUUUCUGCAAUGGCCCUGAACAGUUUGUUUGGUUUUUUUUUUCCAUUUUGUACUAUGAAUUUAUGUGAAGUGGUGUUUCUCAGCAGUGAUGAUUAUGAAAUAAAAGCAUUUGGAAAGCAUUGA
This is a non-coding RNA of Myodes glareolus (Bank vole), 1388 nucleotides long. The record is from RefSeq and is a predicted model, not a curated record. Lineage: Eukaryota; Metazoa; Chordata; Mammalia; Rodentia; Cricetidae.